Long non-coding RNA from Pezoporus flaviventris, 503 nucleotides. RefSeq lists it as uncharacterized. The transcript has 3 exons. Lineage: Eukaryota; Metazoa; Chordata; Aves; Psittaciformes; Psittacidae. The record is from RefSeq and is a predicted model, not a curated record.
CUGAAAUGCCCAUUGCAAAUGAAUUUAAGGGUGGAGGCAGGAAUGACUUAUUCAUGUUUUCUCAAGAAAGAUGCCAGGAUAGGACUCAAGCCCUUGCUCUGAUUUUUUCCUAUGCACAGAACUACCUCUCUGUUGCAAAUGUUUUGAGAAUUCAUCAUCAUCCCAGGUUGAUGGCAGGACCCUUAUGACCCAGCUGUGAGUCAUGGUUCCCAGCUGGGUGCCUCUGAAGAGAGAAAAGAAGCUCAGUUGUGCCCCUGAACUCCCACCAGCACGAGCCAGGAACAUCUGUCUGCUCCUUUCCUUUCUUGAGAUGUUCUCGAGGAGGAGGGAGGCAGGCAAUGAUGAUAUGUCUAUUUGCACACAAAAAGGACCUUCAGCUAAAUCAGCAACAGGAUAUCUCCAUUAAGAGGCAGUACCUAAGCACGAAAAAUUAAGUCCUCUCAUCAUCUGAAGCUUUCACUGGAAGAACAAAAUUCUUUAGCCACCAGGAUUGUACCAUAGAU